AUUGAACGCUGGCGGCAUGCUUUACACAUGCAAGUCGAACGGCAGCAUGGGCUUCGGCCUGAUGGCGAGUGGCGAACGGGUGAGUAAUACAUCGGAACGUACCUGAUAGUGGGGGAUAACUGACCGAAAGGUUAGCUAAUACCGCAUACGCCCCGAGGGGGAAAGUGGGGGACCAGCAAUGGCCUCACGCUAACAGAGCGGCUGAUGGCUGAUUAGCUAGUUGGUGAGGUAAAGGCUCACCAAGGCGACGAUCAGUAGCGGGUCUUAGAGGACGAUCCGCCACACUGGAACUGAGACACGGUCCAGACUCCUACGGGAGGCAGCAGUGGGGAAUCUUGGACAAUGGGCGCAAGCCUGAUCCAGCAAUGCCGCGUGGGUGAAGAAGGCCUUCGGGUUGUAAAGCCCUUUUGUUUGGGAGCAAAUCCUAACGGUUAAUACCUGUUGGGGAUGAGAGUACCAAAAGAAUCAGCACCGGCUAACUACGUGCCAGCCGCCGCAGUAA
Molecule: ribosomal RNA, 502 nt
Filed under: uncultured bacterium
Lineage: Bacteria
Description: partial 16S ribosomal RNA
Rfam family: Bacterial small subunit ribosomal RNA
Source: RNAcentral